This 67-nucleotide transfer RNA is filed under the name Aphrocallistes beatrix. RNAcentral describes it as "tRNA-Ile". The record is from RNAcentral. Lineage: Eukaryota; Metazoa; Porifera; Hexactinellida; Sceptrulophora; Aphrocallistidae.
CGGAAAAUAAUUUAAUUAAAUACCUCACCGAUAAUGCGGCCUUGUGAACAAAUCUUCACUUUUCCAA